GAUGAAGAAGCAGCGAAAUGCGAUACGUAGUGUGAAUUGCAGAAUUCAGUGAAUCAUCGAAUCUUUGAACGCACAUUGCACCUCUCGGUAUUCCGGGAGGUAUGCCUGUUCGAGCGUCAUUUGUACCCUCAAGCUCUGCUUGGUGUUGGGUGUUUGUUCCGCCUCUGUGUGUGAACUCGCCUCAAAACAAUUGGCAGCCGGCGUACUUGUUUCGGAGCGCAGCACAUUUUGCGAUCCAGAUCAACGUACAGCGGCAUCCAAGAAGCCUUAUUUAACGCUCUUGACCUCGGAUCAGGUAGGGAUACCCGCUGAACUUAAGCAUAUCAAUAAGCGGAGGA
RNAcentral lists this unclassified non-coding RNA (338 nucleotides) under soil metagenome. Its description in RNAcentral is "partial contains 5.8S ribosomal RNA, internal transcribed spacer 2, and large subunit ribosomal RNA". The stretch from base 1 to 119 matches the Rfam family "5.8S ribosomal RNA", at positions 35 to 154 of the family's 154-position model. The record is from RNAcentral.